RNAcentral lists this ribosomal RNA (476 nucleotides) under Pseudophasmatidae sp. 1 SB-2021. RNAcentral's name for it is "partial large subunit ribosomal RNA". It matches the Rfam family "Bacterial large subunit ribosomal RNA", at positions 1920 to 2610 of the family's 2925-position model. Lineage: Eukaryota; Metazoa; Arthropoda; Insecta; Phasmatodea; Pseudophasmatidae. The record is from RNAcentral.
AUAUUUAAUGGCCGCGGUAUUCUGACCGUGCAAAGGUAGCAUAAUCAUUAGUUUAUUAAUUGUGGACUUGUAUGAAUGGUUGGACGAGAUAUUGACUGUCUCAUAUUUAUUAUUUGAAUUUAAUUUUUUAGUUAAAAAGCUUAAAUGUUAUUGUAAGACGAGAAGACCCUGUAGAUCUUUAUUUUUUUACUAAUUCUUGUUUUUUAGGUUGUUUUUAUUAUUGUUAGUUUGAUUUUUUGUUGGGGUGACACGGAGAUAUAUAUAACUCUUUAUUUUAUGUACAAUUAUUUUUGAUUUUUUGACCUUUUAUUAUUGUUUAAAGAUAUAGAUACCUUAGGGAUAACAGCGUAAUUUUUUUUGAGAGUUCAUAUCGACAAUAAAGAUUGCGACCUCGAUGUUGGAUUAAGAAUAGUUUGAGGUGUAGGUGCUUUUUAUAUUAGGUCUGUUCGACCUUUAAAUUCUUACAUGAUCUGAGU